Unclassified non-coding RNA from Erinaceus europaeus (western European hedgehog), 323 nucleotides. Its record names the gene 7SK. It matches the Rfam family "7SK RNA". Rfam says of the family: 7SK was discovered as an abundant small nuclear RNA in the mid-70s but a possible function has only recently been suggested. The record is from Ensembl. NCBI's taxonomy places the organism in Eukaryota, Metazoa, Chordata, Mammalia, Eulipotyphla, Erinaceidae.
GUGAGUGCGAUCUGGCUGCGACAUCUGUCACCCCAUUGAUCGCCAGAGUUGAUUAGGCUGAUCUGGCUGGCUAGGCAGGUGUUCCCUUCCUUCCUCACCGCUCCAUGUGCGUCCCUCCAGAAGCUGAGCGCUUGGUGAAAGAGGACGGCCUUCCCCGAAUAGAGACGGACCGGGUAUACGAGUAUAUGCGCUCCUCUGCUAGAACCGCCAAACAAGCUCUCUCUUAACACUUUCUUAACCUGAAAAGUAUUCUCCAGAUAGCAGUCUCUGGAAUUUUUAAUCCAGAAUCAGAAUCCAUUAGGUAGCUUAAAAUAAUUUUCCAG